UACGUAGGGGGCUAGCGUUGUCCGGAAUCAUUGGGCGUAAAGCGCGUGUAGGCGGUUCGGUAAGUCCGCUGUGAAAGUCGGGGGCUCAACCCUCGGAUGCCGGUGGAUACUGUCGGACUAGAGUACGGAAGAGGCGAGUGGAAUUCCUGGUGUAGCGGUGAAAUGCGCAGAUAUCAGGAGGAACACCGAUUGCGAAGGCGGAUCUCUGGGCCAUUACUGACGCUGAGGAGCGAAAGCGUGGGGAGCGAACAGG
RNAcentral lists this ribosomal RNA (253 nucleotides) under uncultured bacterium. RNAcentral's name for it is "partial 16S ribosomal RNA". It matches the Rfam family "Bacterial small subunit ribosomal RNA", at positions 524 to 776 of the family's 1533-position model. The record is from RNAcentral.